RNAcentral lists this ribosomal RNA (492 nucleotides) under uncultured bacterium. RNAcentral describes it as "partial 16S ribosomal RNA". It matches the Rfam family "Bacterial small subunit ribosomal RNA", at positions 29 to 507 of the family's 1533-position model. The record is from RNAcentral.
AGUGAACGCUGGCGGUAGGCCUAACACAUGCAAGUCGAACGGCAGCACAGUAAGAGCUUGCUCUUACGGGUGGCGAGUGGCGGACGGGUGAGGAAUACAUCGGAAUCUACUUUUUCGUGGGGGAUAACGUAGGGAAACUUACGCUAAUACCGCAUACGACCUACGGGUGAAAGCAGGGGAUCUUCGGACCUUGCGCGAUUGAAUGAGCCGAUGUCGGAUUAGCUAGUUGGCGGGGUAAAGGCCCACCAAGGCGACGAUCCGUAGCUGGUCUGAGAGGAUGAUCGGCCACACUGGAACUGAGACACGGUCCAGACUCCUACGGGAGGCAGCAGUGGGGAAUAUUGGACAAUGGGCGAAAGCCUGAUCCGGCCAUACCGCGUGGGUGAAGAAGGCCUUCGGGUUGUAAAGCCCUUUUGUUGGGAAAGAAAAGCAGCAGGUUAAUACCCCGCUGUUCUGACGGUACCCAAAGAAUAAGCACCGGCUAACUUCGUG